RNAcentral lists this ribosomal RNA (253 nucleotides) under uncultured bacterium. Its description in RNAcentral is "partial 16S ribosomal RNA". It matches the Rfam family "Bacterial small subunit ribosomal RNA", at positions 524 to 776 of the family's 1533-position model. The record is from RNAcentral.
CACAGAGGGUGCAAGCGUUAAUCGGAAUUACUGGGCGUAAAGCGUGCGUAGUCGGUUAUCUAAGUCGGGUGUGAAAUCCCCGGGCUCAACCUGGGAAUUGCAUUCGAUACUGGAUAGCUAGAGUUCGGCAGAGGGAAGCGGAAUUUCGGGUGUAGCGGUGAAAUGCGUAGAUAUCCGAAGGAACAUCAGUGGCGAAAGCGGCUUCCUGGACCAGAACUGACGAUCAGGCACGAAAGCGUGGGGAGCAAACAGG